GACAGCUGGGAGGCGCACACCCUGUCCCCCCAAAGUCUCCGGGCUGAGCUAGCCUCACUCUGGCCGCAGGAGGUCAAUCACUACAAGGGGAAGAACUACCCCAUCAUGAAUCUGCAUGAGCGGACCCUGAGCGUGCUGGCCUGCCGGUACGUGUCAGAAGUGGUGAUUGGGGCCCCGUACGCGGUCACAGCAGAGCUCCUGAGUCACUUCAAGGUGAGGCUUCACAUGGGCUCACCUUGUUUCCUCUGUUCACCUCUGAUCCUGCAUGGGCUGGGAACGCAGGCUGGCUGUGGGCUCCUAGGCGGGGCCCAGGAGGGGCCUGGGCUGAGGAAACGGCAGGGUCAGCUCUCCCAACCCCCGGGGC
Molecule: small RNA, 364 nt
Filed under: Pongo abelii (Sumatran orangutan)
Lineage: Eukaryota; Metazoa; Chordata; Mammalia; Primates; Hominidae
Description: retained intron
Source: RNAcentral